AGUGAACGCUGGCGGUAGGCCUAACACAUGCAAGUCGAACGGCAGCACAGUAAGAGCUUGCUCUUACGGGUGGCGAGUGGCGGACGGGUGAGGAAUACAUCGGAAUCUACUUUUUCGUGGGGGAUAACGUAGGGAAACUUACGCUAAUACCGCAUACGACCUACGGGUGAAAGCAGGGGAUCUUCGGACCUUGCGCGAUUGAAUGAGCCGAUGUCGGAUUAGCUAGUUGGCGGGGUAAAGGCCCACCAAGGCGACGAUCCGUAGCUGGUCUGAGAGGAUGAUCAGCCACACUGGAACUGAGACACGGUCCAGACUCCUACGGGAGGCAGCAGUGGGGAAUAUUGGACAAUGGGCGCAAGCCUGAUCCAGCCAUACCGCGUGGGUGAAGAAGGCCUUCGGGUUGUAAAGCCCUUUUGUUGGGAAAGAAAAGCAGCAGGUUAAUAACCCGCUGUUCUGACGGUACCCAAAGAAUAAGCAACGGCUAACUUCGUG
RNAcentral lists this ribosomal RNA (492 nucleotides) under uncultured bacterium. RNAcentral describes it as "partial 16S ribosomal RNA". It matches the Rfam family "Bacterial small subunit ribosomal RNA", at positions 29 to 507 of the family's 1533-position model. The record is from RNAcentral.